This is a long non-coding RNA of Acanthochromis polyacanthus (spiny chromis), 1604 nucleotides long. RefSeq lists it as uncharacterized. The transcript is spliced from 3 exons. NCBI's taxonomy places the organism in Eukaryota, Metazoa, Chordata, Actinopteri, Pomacentridae. The record is from RefSeq and is a predicted model, not a curated record.
GGAGCAGCCAGUCACGGGUCACUCACUGACUCACAUUGAAAAAUAGCACAGAAUGAAUUGUUGUGUAUUUAUUUUAUUUUCAAUUUAGGUUGGAUUUUAUUUGUGUGCAGCGCAGAUUUUCUGUGCGUUGAGACUGUGUCAGGAGUGCGCAAUUGCGGACGCGCGCAGCUUUGAGGAACAGUGGCUCCCAGUGGCUCCGACCACUUCCCACGCCUGCCGAGAGAAAAAGGCUGCUUUUCUUAUAUUAUCGCUCGGCCGUUUCGAAGAAAAAGGUAGAAACACCUCAUAAAGUCCUUAAUGGGAUUUUUGAAGAUUUGGCCAAAGAUGACUUCAAAAAAUUCAAGUGGUUGUUGCAUGAUGAGUUGAUAAAAGACUUUGAGCUCAUUCCAAAGUCUCGACUGGAGGAAGCAGACAGGAUGGACACAGUGGAUCAGAUGUUUCAGAGCUACUGCAUCUACACCAUUAAAGUUGCUGUAAAGGCUUUGGAGGAGAUUCCCAGAAAUGAUCUCGUGGCGAACAUCCCAGAAAGCAUCAAAGAACCUGAAGGAUGGACUCUGGACAUGCCUGGUUGAAAUGAACAUAAGGAACAAGUUUUUAGAGAGACAAGCUAACAGGACUCCUUCCCUUCCUCUCCUCCACAUCCUGGCUCUUCUCGCCCAGAUCUGCCUCCAUCGUUAUGCUGCUUCCUCCUCAGCUUCAAGGUGCUUUUAUGUUCAUAUUUUGAAUUCACAUUCUAACGUAUGGUUCAAAGGAAAAGAAAUACAGUUAUUCUGUUGUUGUGCAUGUUCUUUUAUUGUAAAUAUCUGUAGAAUACAGUUAAAAUUAGGGAUGGCUCGAUACCACUUUUUCACAUCCGAUACCGAUAUCGAUACUGCAGCCUUGAGGAUCGGGAGAUACCAAUCCGAUGUGAAUCUUUUUGCAUUCUAAAAGUUGUUAAUAAUACAUGGAUGUAAUUUGCUUGAUACGGACAUCUAAAAACACCACGCUCAUUGUACAACACCUGUUCUGGUCCCCUAAAGAAAGAAGGAAAACAUGUGACAACAAGUUAUGUGUAACUGCUGCGGCUUUAUUAAAACUUAAAGCUCACAUCGCUUUUAACAGCGUUUGUAAACACAACAGACCCAGCUGCACCAUUCAAAUGUUUGAAAUAAAACUGCAACUUGGUGCACAUAUUUAAAUUAAAUUAAAUAAUCCCCGUAUAUAAACAGAAAAGUCACAUUAUAACUCUAAUAAUUCUCGAGACACACAAUCAAAACAUAAAAAUCUAGGCUACGCACCUGAUUUGCUGCACCAAAACAAAAAAAGAAAAACAAGGGUAAACAGUGCAAUCUAGUGUCUUUCUUCUUUUGCAUGCAGCCGCUGAUGUUGUACUGUAUGUAAAACACUCAUGAAACUAAAUAUUAGAAUGAACACUAUUCCUUACCUUACUUAUUAUUAAUUACAAACUCUAAAUUGGAGCCCUGUAAGUUUUCUCCCAUUUGGUACAACCCUGAUUUUCAGGUUAAUCAGCCGCUCCAUUUAGCUGUUUGGGAGCAGAAUGGAAUCACACAUCUCCACCACCUCUUUUCAGAUAAUGUGUUCAUGUCAUAUACAAACUUGCUUCA